Molecule: ribosomal RNA, 253 nt
Filed under: uncultured bacterium
Lineage: Bacteria
Description: partial 16S ribosomal RNA
Rfam family: Bacterial small subunit ribosomal RNA
Source: RNAcentral
UACGAAGGGGGCGAGCGUUGUUCGGAUUUACUGGGCGUAAAGAGCGUGUAGGCGGCCAGACAGGUCCGUUGUGAAAACUCGAGGCUCAACCUCGAGAUGUCGAUGGAAACCGUCUGGCUAGAGUCCGGAAGAGGAGUGUGGAAUUCCUGGUGUAGCGGUGAAAUGCGCAGAUAUCAGGAAGAACACCUAUGGCGAAGGCAGCACUCUGGGACGGUACUGACGCUGAGACGCGAAAGCGUGGGGAGCGAACAGG